GACGAACGCUGGCGGCGUGCUUAACACAUGCAAGUCGAACGGAAAGGCCCUGCGUUUGUGGGUUGCUCGUUUGGCGAACGGGUGAGUAAAACGUGAGUAUCCUGCCCUUGUCUGUGGGAUAUCUUCAGGAAACUGGGGCUAAUACAGGAUAGGAGCUCCUGCUGCAUGGUGGGGGUUGGAAAGUUUCGGCGGUUGGGGCUGGACUCGCGGCUUACGGGCUUGUUGGGGGGGUAGGGGCGUACCAAGGUUUUGACGGGUAGCCGGCCUGGGAGGGUUGACGGCCACAAUGGGACUGCGAUAGGCCCCAGACGCGUACGGGACGCAACAGUCGAGAAUAUUGCACAAUAAGCGGAAGCGUGAUGCAGCGAUGCCGCGUGCGGGAUGACGGCCUAUGGGUUGAAAACCGCUUUCGCCUGAGACAUACCGUGCGUGACGGUAAUGGGUCAAGAAGCACCGGCUAACUACGUG
RNAcentral lists this ribosomal RNA (468 nucleotides) under uncultured bacterium. RNAcentral's name for it is "partial 16S ribosomal RNA". It matches the Rfam family "Bacterial small subunit ribosomal RNA", at positions 28 to 507 of the family's 1533-position model. The record is from RNAcentral.